GACGAACGCUGGCGGCGCGCCUAACACAUGCAAGUCGAACGAGAGAGGAGGGAGCUUGCUUCCUCAAUCGAGUGGCGAACGGGUGAGUAACGCGUGAGGAACCUGCCUCAAAGAGGGGGACAACAGUUGGAAACGACUGCUAAUACCGCAUAAGCCCACGACCCGGCAUCGGGAAGAGGGAAAAGGAGCAAUCCGCUUUGAGAUGGCCUCGCGUCCGAUUAGCUAGUUGGUGAGGUAACGGCCCACCAAGGCGACGAUCGGUAGCCGGACUGAGAGGUUGAACGGCCACAUUGGGACUGAGACACGGCCCAGACUCCUACGGGAGGCAGCAGUGGGGAAUAUUGCACAAUGGGGGAAACCCUGAUGCAGCGACGCCGCGUGGAGGAAGAAGGUCUUCGGAUUGUAAACUUCUGUUCUUAGUGAAGAAUAAUGACGGUAGCUAAGGAGCAAGCCACGGCUAACUACGUG
Molecule: ribosomal RNA, 468 nt
Filed under: uncultured bacterium
Lineage: Bacteria
Description: bacterial SSU rRNA
Rfam family: Bacterial small subunit ribosomal RNA
Source: RNAcentral